AGAGUUUGAUCCUGGCUCAGGAUGAACGCUGGCGGCGUGCCUAAUACAUGCAAGUCGAGCGAACAGACGAGGAGCUUGCUCCUCUGACGUUAGCGGCGGACGGGUGAGUAACACGUGGAUAACCUACCUAUAAGACUGGGAUAACUUCGGGAAACCGGAGCUAAUACCGGAUAAUAUAUUGAACCGCAUGGUUCAAUAGUGAAAGACGGUUUUGCUGUCACUUAUAGAUGGAUCCGCGCCGCAUUAGCUAGUUGGUAAGGUAACGGCUUACCAAGGCUUUGACGGGUAGCCGGCCUGAGAGGGUGACCGGCCACAUUGGGACUGAGAUACGGCCCAGACUCCUACGGGAGGCAGCAGUGGGGAAUAUUGCACAAUGGGCGGAAGCCUGAUGCAGCAACGCCGCGUGCGGGAUGACGGCCUUCGGGUUGUAAACCGCUUUCGCCUGUGACGAAGCGUGAGUGACGGUAAUGGGUAAAGAAGCACCGGCUAACUACGUGCCAGCAGCCGCGGUGAUACGUAGGGUGCGAGCGUUGUCCGGAUUUAUUGGGCGUAAAGGGCUCGUAGGUGGUUGAUCGCGUCGGAAGUGUAAUCUUGGGGCUUAACCCUGAGCGUGCUUUCGAUACGGGUUGACUUGAGGAAGGUAGGGGAGAAUGGAAUUCCUGGUGGAGCGGUGGAAUGCGCAGAUAUCAGGAGGAACACCAGUGGCGAAGGCGGUUCUCUGGGCCUUUCCUGACGCUGAGGAGCGAAAGCGUGGGGAGCGAACAGGCUUAGAUACCCUGGUAGUCCACGCUGUAAACGGUGGGUACUAGGUGUGGGGUCCAUUCCACGGGUUCCGCGCCGUAGCUAACGCUUUAAGUACCCCGCCUGGGGAGUACGGCCGCAAGGCUAAAACUCAAAGGAAUUGACGGGGCCCCGCACAAGCGGCGGAGCAUGCGGAUUAAUUCGAUGCAACGCGUAGAACCUUACCUGGGUUUGACAUGGAUCGGGAGUGCUCAGAGAUGGGUGUGCCUCUUUUGGGGUCGGUUCACAGGUGGUGCAUGGCUGUCGUCAGCUCGUGUCGUGAGAUGUUGGGUUAAGUCCCGCAACGAGCGCAACCCUUGUUCACUGUGGCCAGCACGUUAUGGUGGGGACUCAGUGGAGACCGCCGGGGUCAACUCGGAGGAAGGUGGGGAUGACGUCAAGUCAUCAUGCCCCUUAUGUCCAGGGCUUCACGCAUGCUACAAUGGCUGGUACAGAGAGUGGCGAGCCUGUGAGGGUGAGCGAAUCUCGGAAAGCCGAUCUCAGUUCGGAUUGGGGUCUGCAACUCGACCUCAUGAAGUCGGAGUCGCUAGUAAUCGCAGAUCAGCAACGCUGCGGUGAAUACGUUCCCGGGGCUUGUACACACCGCCCGUCAAGUCAUGAAAGUUGGUAACACCCGAAGCCGGUGGCCUAACCGUUGUGGGGGAGCCGUCGAAGGUGGGACUGGUGAUUAGGACUAAGUCGUAACAAGGUAACCA
This 1496-nucleotide ribosomal RNA is filed under the name uncultured Propionibacterium sp. RNAcentral's name for it is "bacterial SSU rRNA". It matches the Rfam family "Bacterial small subunit ribosomal RNA". Lineage: Bacteria; Bacillati; Actinomycetota; Actinomycetes; Propionibacteriales; Propionibacteriaceae. The record is from RNAcentral.